Small nuclear RNA from Neogale vison (American mink), 104 nucleotides. Lineage: Eukaryota; Metazoa; Chordata; Mammalia; Carnivora; Mustelidae. The record is from RefSeq and is a predicted model, not a curated record.
GUGCUCGCUUCAGCAGCACAUAUACUAAAAUUGUAACGAUACAGAGAUUAGCAUGGCCCCUGCGCAAGGAUGAUGUGCAAAUUCAUGAUGCGUUCCAUAUUUUA